CCUGGUUGAUCGCUGCCAGUAGUCAUAUGCUUGUCUCAAAGAUUAAGCCAUGCAUGUGUAAGUAUGAACUAAUUCAGACUGUGAAACUGCGAAUGGCUCAUUAAUCAGUUAUAGUUUGUUUGAUGGUACCGUGCUACUCGGAUAACCGUAGUAAAUUCUAGAGCUAAUACGUGCAACAAACCCCGAUUCUGGAAGGGAUGCAUUUAUUAGAUAAAAGGUCGACGCGGGCUUACGCCCGUUGCUCUGAUGAUUCAUAGAUAACUCGACGGAUCGCACGGCCAACGUGCCGGCGACGCAUCAUUCAAAUUUCUGCCCUAUCAACUUUCGAUGGUAGCAUAGAGGCCUACCAAUGGUGGUGACGGGUGACGGAGAAUUAGGGUUCGAUUCCGGAGAGGGAGCCUGGAGAAACGGCUACCACAUCCAGGAAGGCAGCAGGCGCGCAAAAUUACCCAAUCCUGACACGGGGAGGUAGUGACAUAAUACAAUACGGGCUCUUACGAGUCUGGUAAUUGGAAUGAGUCAUCUAAAUCCUUAACGAGGAUCCCAUUGGAGGGCAAGUCUGGUGCAGCAGCCAGCGGUAAUUCCAGCUCCAAUAGCGUUAUUUAGUUGUUGCAGUUAAAAAGCUCGUAGUUGGACCUUGGGAUGGGUCGAUCGGUCCGCCUUUGGUGUGCAUCGGUCGCCUCGUCCUUCUACCGGCGAUGCGCUCCUGGCCUUAGUUGACGCGGGUCGUGCCUCCGGUGCUGUUAGCUUUGAAGAAACUUUUAGAGUGCUCAAAAGCAGCCUACGCUCUGAUACAUUAGCAUGGGAUAACUCAUAGAUUUCGAUCCUAUUGUGUUGGCCUUCGGGAUCGGAGUAAUGAUUAACGGGACACUGUCGGGGGCAUUCGUAUUUCAUAGUCAGAGGUGAAAUUCUUGGAUUUAUGAAAGAAGAACAAUUGCGAAAGCAUUUGCCAAGGUGUUUUCAUUAAUAAGAACGAAAGUUGGGGGCUCGCAAGAAGAUCAGAUACGUCCUAGUCUCAACCUAAACGAUGCCGACCAGGGAUCGGCGGAUAGUUGCUUUAGGACUCGCGGCACCUUUAUGAGAAAUCAAGUCUUUGGGUUCCGGGGGAGUAUGGUCGCAAGGCUGAACUUAAAGAAUAUUUGACGGAAAGCACCCGUGAGUGGAGCUGCGGCUUAAUUUGACUCUAACCGGGGAAACUUACCGGUCCAGACAUAGUAAGAUUGACAGACUGAUAGCUCUUUCUUUGAUUCUAUGGGGUGGUGCAUGGCCGUUCUUAGUUGGUGGAGCGAUUUGUCUGUUAUUUCCGUUAACGACGAGACCUCAGCCUCUGCUAACUAGCUAUGCGGAGGUGAUCCGCCGUGGCGCAGCUUCCUUAGAGGGACUAUGGCUUCUAGGCAAGGAAGUUUGAGGCAUACAGGUCUGUGAUGCCUUAGAUGUUCUGGCCGCCACGCGCGACUUACACUGAUGUAUUCAAGAGUUAUAGCCUUGGCCGACAGGCCGGGUAUCUUUGAAAUUCAUCGUGUGAGGGAUAGAUCAUUGCAAUUGUUGGUCUUCAACGAGAAUUUCCUAGUAAGCGCGAGUCAUCAGCUCGCGUUGACUACAUCCUGCCUUUGUACACCGCCGCGUCGCUCCUCUACCGAUUGAAUGUCGGUGAGUGUUGGAUCGCUGCCGACAGUGUGGCGUUCGCCGCCGGCGACGUCGGCGAGAAGUCCACUGAACCUUAUAUUUAGAGGAAGGAGAAGUCGUAACAAGGUUUCCCGUAGGUGAACCUGCGAAGG
Molecule: ribosomal RNA, 1778 nt
Filed under: Rhizophora apiculata
Lineage: Eukaryota; Viridiplantae; Streptophyta; Magnoliopsida; Malpighiales; Rhizophoraceae
Description: SSU rRNA
Rfam family: Eukaryotic small subunit ribosomal RNA
Source: RNAcentral